This 68-nucleotide transfer RNA is filed under the name Crocidura suaveolens mimula. Its description in RNAcentral is "tRNA-Lys". The record is from RNAcentral. Lineage: Eukaryota; Metazoa; Chordata; Mammalia; Eulipotyphla; Soricidae.
CAUUAAGAAGCUACUGCAGCGUUAACCUUUUAAGUUAAAGAAUGAGAAUUUAAAUUUCUCCUUAAUGA